RNAcentral lists this long non-coding RNA (2954 nucleotides) under Homo sapiens (human). Its description in RNAcentral is "HSALNT0353017". The record is from RNAcentral. Lineage: Eukaryota; Metazoa; Chordata; Mammalia; Primates; Hominidae.
AAGCUCCCAGAAUCCAAUUGGAUGCUGGGUUGCAGGGUGGUUAGAGCUAUAGGCAGUGAGCUGAGGCAGGAAUCAGAUGGCUUUACCCAUGGAGAUUUUUGUUGCUGGCUAAUUUGCUACAUAUUCUUAGAACUGGUUUGAUUAAGAAAAAAAGCUGUUGGUGUGGUGACUGGAAGUCUAACAACAAUCACCACAAUAGAUAUCUGCAGCCCUGAAACCAAUUUUCAGGCUUGAAUUUCUUUUACUUUUCUUCUUUCUUUCUUAUUGUGUGUCUCCAAGUCCUGAGUCUACUGGGGUUAUGUAGAAAAAAAGUUUUAAACAUUUUUUUGGGAAAUAAUUGCAAAGUUACAGCUAAAUUAUAAGAAAAAAAGAAGAGUUCUACACUUUGGGAGGCCGAGGCGGGUGGAUCAUGAGGUCAGGAGAUCGAGACCAUCCUGGCUAACAAGCUUCCUGCACACUUCCGACAACUUGAUUGAACUGGACGCCCUUGGAAGUUCAUGGCAUCGCCUAUAACAGAGUCUGUGUAGGCAAAACCCCAGCCUAUGCUGGAAUUUAACUCUUAAAAAGCAACCUAAGUAGAACACAAGAUUGUAAACUCUAAGGAGAUUCUAACACCAAAAGAAAGUAUGACUUGAGCCAAUGAAAUGCCAAAAUCCAGUUCUAGCUGACAACGUCAGUAGUGGAGGACAGACUUCCACUUGCCAUUUGAGGAAAAAGCAUGUGGAUUCAUGAGCAUAACAGCAGAUACCCCACUACCAAUUACCAAAUCCUGUGCACAUUCCUGUUCUCCAGUCACCUUUUCUCCAUAAAUGUUUGUGGUAUAAAAUGAAAACCUUCCCAAAUAUUAACCAGUCAACCUUUAUUCUCUGAUUUCUUUCUCUAAACUAGUGAUGCCUUCAUUUUCAGUGUCACUGACUUGCACCUAACAGUUCCCAGCUUAUGUUGUAGGUGCUAUCUCAUCUUAAACUGAUCCUGUUCUCGAGUUUCCAGAGCGAGUACAGCCCUGCCACCUCUGGAGUUCAGCCCAGUGAAAGUGCUUUCAGACUUCUGACCUCCAGAACUGUGGACCGACCAUGGACUGAUGGAAAAAGGAACCACGAGGAGCUCCAACAAUGGGAAUGUGGUUGCCUCUUCCUAGUGCAACACCUGGGUUCUGGAGUGGUGCAUGCCAGGUAUUUGGCAUGAAGGUGGAACAAGCAAGGAUGGUGCUGGUGUUUGUAGCCACAACCAAUGUGGUGUGAGCAGGGCCUGUUGCUGGCAGCUCUGAGUGGACAAGAGUUCCAUGACAGAAGAGCUGAAGGCUUCUUGUCCUGCAUCUUCUUCCCCGACAUCAGCAAGCUUGGAGAGCUGGGUGGGUGGUCUUCAUCCAGCACCUUCCUGGCCGCCUUCUCUGGCUGCAGGGAGCAGCCCGGGGCCGGGGCCGGGGCCGGGGCCAGGAGCACUGCUGGAGCCGGGUCAGGCUUCCCAAGGGGAAGGCCACCUCCAGCAGGGCUGUGUGAGCUGGGGGCCUCAUGGCCCUCCCAGAAGGAGCCACUCACUGGAGACACCUGGGCCUUCUCUCUCAAAUGGUUUUCCAACAGGUAGGGGUGGGCAUUUCCCUGCAGAGGCCCGGGCCUGCACCCGAAGGAGGUGAGGUCUCCCUGGGUCUCCAGGGCCCUAGACGUGGAUGAAGUCCUGCCGUGGCUACGGGGGCUCUUUUCUUGUCAUCCUGCUCCUGGGUCUCUACGUGAUGCUCCUGCGUCACUGUUCUGGGCUCCUCUUCGGCCCUACCCUCAGUCUCCUUCGGGAGCCUGGCUGGGACCUGCUUAGGUGGUGAAGGCAGCGGGAGGGCGAACUUGCGGACGGGAGGAGGGUCCUCAGGGACCCUGGGUGCAGCAACCUUCGGGAGUUCCCAACAGGUGGCUCAGAGGCCACAGCCUGCAGGAACUCCAGAGGGUCACCCUUGUCAUGUGGGAGAGGACAAGGGGUGCCACACAAGCUGCCUGGAGAGGAGGGCCUAGGAGGCCGCCGCGGGUUGAACAGGAAUAAGAAAGGGCCUGGCUGUCCUGGGCAGGCGCAGAGGCCUUUAGGGCAAGGGGCGGCCGCUGGCCCGAGAGCCUGCAGGCAGACCAGAGAAGAAACGUGUGAAGUAAAUUGCCCAUCUCCACCGAGGGACAGAAGCAAGGCAAUGAACCUCCAUCCGGCUACAGGAAAGAAUGAGAAAACACCAUGUCUCCACGAUAAGGAGGCACACAGGCCAGAGCGUGAGCUGUGGAAUCACACAGCCCGGGUUCACAGCCUGGCUGGGCCACUGCCACCUGAAUGACCUGGAGAAGAGUCUCAGGCCCAAAUGUUGUUUUAGCAAUAUCCAGUACAAAACGAAGGAGUGUUUUAGCAAAUUUGUAAAAGGAAGUGAGCACAACUCGCUCGAGAUGGGCAAUUUACAUGUAUUUUCUCUGGGUACUUUGCACGGUGGCAUAUGUGUAAUAAGCACAUGCACUCCUAGGAUGAGGCCUUUACCUCAACUCAUAAGUUGACCAUGGCCCACAGUGGGCUCCAGUCCUCUAAGAAAAUGUAGGGCAGGGACCAGCAAUUGUCCCACAGGGUCAUGCCACAUUUCUCUUCUAAUGGAGCCUUGCAGCUCAGAUGAUCUUUUUGAUCCUGUGUGAGGUAUCUAAGUAUAUAAAGAUUAUGUUCUAGACCCAUUAUGGUCUAUCCUGAAAGAAAUUCACCAGCAGUUUAUUUAUUAUGGAUAAGAAUCCAUGUUCUCCAAUGAGAACACUUGGACACAGGGUGGGGAACGUCAGAGGGUGGGGAACGUCACAUGCCAGAGCCUGUCGGGGGCUGCGGGGCUGGGGGAGGGAUAGCAUUAAGUAUCAGGGAACCUGCCCCAAUAGUCACAAAGGUUCUUUUCUAUUUUCCCUAAGCAUCAGCCGGUUUGAGAAAUAAGUACAAAAGAGAGAAAUUUUAAAGCU